This 406-nucleotide ribosomal RNA is filed under the name uncultured bacterium. RNAcentral describes it as "partial 16S ribosomal RNA". It matches the Rfam family "Bacterial small subunit ribosomal RNA", at positions 30 to 526 of the family's 1533-position model. The record is from RNAcentral.
AUUGAACGCUGGCGGCAGGCCUAACACAUGCAAGUCGAACGAGUGGCGGACGGGUGAGUAAUGUCUGGGAAACUGCCUGAUAGAGGGGGAUAACUACUGGAAACGGUAGCUAAUACCGCAUACUAUCCGUUGUGCCCAGAUGGGAUUAGCUUGUGGGUGGGGUAACGGCGCACCAAGGCGACGAUCUCUAGCUGGUCUGAGAGGAUGACCAGCCACACUGGAACGGAGCCACGGCGCAGACUCCUACGGGAGGCAGCAGUGGGGAAUAUUGCACAAUGGGCGCAAGCCUGAUGCAGCCAUGCCGCGUGUAUGAAGAAGGCCUUCGGGUUGUAAAGUACUUUCAGCGGGGAGGCGUUACCCGCAGAAGAAGCACCGGCUAACUCCGUGCCAGCAGCCGCGGUAAUAC